AGAAUCAACGCUGGCGGCGUGCCUAACACAUGCAAGUCGAACGCGGUUACCCCGCAAGGGGUAACUGAGUGGCAAACGGGUGAGUAACGCGUGGGUGACCUACCUUCGAGUGGGGGAUAACGUUUCGAAAGGACGCUAAUACCGCAUGACAUCCUGCCUUUGGACGAGGCGGAGAUCGAAAGGCCGGGGAUCGUAAGACCUGGGCGCGUUGGGACGGACGGGGCCCGCGUCCGAUUAGCGUUAGGUUGGUGACGGUAACGCUCGACCGAAGGCGACGAUCGGUAGCCGGCUGGAGGACGGGCGGACGCCACGACGUGGGACUGGACGACCGACCGG
RNAcentral lists this ribosomal RNA (336 nucleotides) under uncultured soil bacterium. Its description in RNAcentral is "bacterial SSU rRNA". It matches the Rfam family "Bacterial small subunit ribosomal RNA", at positions 26 to 334 of the family's 1533-position model. The record is from RNAcentral.